RNAcentral lists this ribosomal RNA (467 nucleotides) under uncultured bacterium. RNAcentral describes it as "bacterial SSU rRNA". It matches the Rfam family "Bacterial small subunit ribosomal RNA", at positions 355 to 825 of the family's 1533-position model. The record is from RNAcentral.
UAGGGAAUAUUGGACAAUGGGUGAGAGCCUGAUCCAGCCAUGCCGCGUGCAGGAAGAAGGCGUUAUGCGUUGUAAACUGCUUUUUGCCAGGGGAUAAAAAGACCGUGCGCGGUUAAUUGAAGGUACCUGGUGAAUAAGCCACGGCUAACUACGUGCCAGCAGCCGCGGUAAUACGUAGGUGGCAAGCGUUGUCCGGAUUUAUUGGGUUUAAAGGGUGCGUAGGUGGCCCUGUAAGUCAGUGGUGAAAUAUCUCAGCUUAACUGAGAGGGUGCCAUUGAUACUGCAGGGCUUGAGUACAGAUGAGGUAGGCGGAAUUGACGGUGUAGCGGUGAAAUGCAUAGAUAUCAAGAGGAACACCUGAGGUGAAGACGGGUUGCUGGGCUGACACUGACGCUGAGGCGCGAAAGCCAGGGGAGCAAACGGGAUUAGAUACCCAUGUAGUCCCUGAGCGGGCUGGCAAGGCGCAU